ACGGGUGUAGUUCAAUGGUAGAACAGUGGUCUCCAAAACCACCAGUGGGAGUUCAAUCCUCUCCACCCGUGCUA
Molecule: transfer RNA, 74 nt
Filed under: bacterium CG2_30_40_12
Lineage: Bacteria
Description: tRNA-Trp
Rfam family: tRNA
About the family: Transfer RNA (tRNA) molecules are approximately 80 nucleotides in length.
Source: RNAcentral